UUUAGCAGCCACACCACCUGCAGUUCAGACCUGGUCAUCCACCUGAAGCUAUGCAGGUUUGGGCCUGGCCAGCACUUUGAUGGAAGACCAAUUAGGAAAGUGGGUUGCUAGUGGAA
Ribosomal RNA from Paramormyrops kingsleyae, 116 nucleotides. The record is from Ensembl. Lineage: Eukaryota; Metazoa; Chordata; Actinopteri; Osteoglossiformes; Mormyridae.